AUACAGAGGGGGCAAGCGUUGUCCGGACUUACUGGGCGUAAAGGGUGCGCAGGCGGUCGUGUGCGUCGUCGCUGAAAUCACUCGGCUUAACCGAGUGGCGCGUGACGAUACGAUACGACUGGAGCCUCGGAGAGGGUGGUGGAACUCCUGGUGUAGUGGUGAAAUGCGUAGAGAUCAGGAAGAACCCCUGUGGCGUAAGCGACCACCUGGCCGAGUGCUGACGCUGAGGCACGAAAGCGUGGGGAGUGAACCGGAUUAGAUACCCGGGUAAUCCACGCCGUAAACGAUGUCGACUCGGGGUGUGCGGGCUUUACGGUCCGUGCGUCCCCAAGCUCACGCGGAAGUCGACCGCCUGGGGACUACGAGCGCAAGCUUAAA
Molecule: ribosomal RNA, 378 nt
Filed under: uncultured bacterium
Lineage: Bacteria
Description: bacterial SSU rRNA
Rfam family: Bacterial small subunit ribosomal RNA
Source: RNAcentral